RNAcentral lists this ribosomal RNA (467 nucleotides) under uncultured bacterium. RNAcentral's name for it is "partial 16S ribosomal RNA". It matches the Rfam family "Bacterial small subunit ribosomal RNA", at positions 29 to 507 of the family's 1533-position model. The record is from RNAcentral.
ACGAACGCUGGCGGCGUGCUCAACACCUGCCCGUCGAACGGAAAGGCCCUGCUUUUGUGGGGUGCUCGAGUGGCGAACGGGUGAGUAACACGUGAGUAACCUGCCCUUGACUUUGGGAUAACUUCAGGAAACUGGGGCUAAUACCGGAUAGGAGCUCCUGCUGCAUGGUGGGGGUUGGAAAGUUUCGGCGGUUGGGGAUGGACUCGCGGCUUAUCAGCUUGUUGGUGGGGUAGUGGCUUACCAAGGCUUUGACGGGUAGCCGGCCUGAGAGGGUGACCGGCCACAUUGGGACUGAGAUACGGCCCAGACUCCUACGGGAGGCAGCAGUGGGGAAUAUUGCACAAUGGGCGGAAGCCUGAUGCAGCAACGCCGCGUGCGGGAUGACGGCCUUCGGGUUGUAAACCGCUUUCGCCUGUGACGAAGCGUGAGUGACGGUAAUGGGUAAAGAAGCACCGGCUAACUACGUG